UUCAUAAUGUAAGUCAUUCUAGCAUUUCUCAUUAUCUAGAUUCAUUAACACCAAUAUAAACGUGAGAAAUGCUAUAAUGACUUACAUUGU
RNAcentral lists this unclassified non-coding RNA (90 nucleotides) under Oryza sativa (Asian cultivated rice). Its description in RNAcentral is "partial microRNA MIR472o precursor". The record is from RNAcentral. Lineage: Eukaryota; Viridiplantae; Streptophyta; Magnoliopsida; Poales; Poaceae.